Prunus avium (sweet cherry) is the source of this 667-nucleotide non-coding RNA. Lineage: Eukaryota; Viridiplantae; Streptophyta; Magnoliopsida; Rosales; Rosaceae. The record is from RefSeq and is a predicted model, not a curated record.
UCCUCUUCCCAUUCAGAAACUCUUUGUUUCCUACGCCACACAGCCAGCCAAGAGCAACAGCUCCUUUCCUAAUUAUUUCUCCAUGGAGCUCUAUUUAAUCCAUCGAUCUCUUAAUAAUCCACCAUUAUAUUUUUCUCUGUUAUUCCCAUCUCCCUUCAAUCCAUUACCCAUAUCCUUUAUUUUCAGUUUCUAUCAUCUUUCUCAUAUCAGAUUCAUAUUAUAACCCUAAGUUUCAAUCUCACCCAAAAAGCUCACAAAUUGUCUUUGAGAUUGAUGGUGACCAAGAGGGGAGGAGCAUGAGAAACUGAAAAGAGGAAAUCAAGCAGCUAUUUGAUAAAGGGAAAGCUUCAGAUAUUUGCACAUUGUAAUGGGAUGGAUCUCUUAUUGGCUGCCUGUUUGGGAGGAAGAAGGCUACAGGAAGAUUUUGUACCCAUCCAAAUUUGCUGCAACCAUUUCAUAUGUUGUUUUCAAAGCUGAUUUUGCUAAACUCAUGUGAUGAAGCUUGAAGCCAGAAGCUAAUCUUAAGGGAAAGGGUUUAGUAUUUUGAACAAACACUUAGUUUUAAUGUAUCUUGACAUGUUCCCAUUAUUGGUUGUUGGAAUGUUGGUUUGUAAAUUUUUAAUUUCCUUCAUGAUAUUAAAUAUGUAAUCAGAAUUUUAUUGUUUUA